This 96-nucleotide transfer RNA is filed under the name Caudoviricetes sp. RNAcentral describes it as "tRNA-OTHER". Lineage: Duplodnaviria; Heunggongvirae; Uroviricota; Caudoviricetes. The record is from RNAcentral.
GGAUAAGUGGCGGAAUUGGAAAACGCACGGAACGUAUGCCGGGACUCUCGCUCAUUGGCAGUAAAGCCCAUCCCCGUUCGAAUCGGGGCUUAUCCA